UUUCUUAAUUUCCUCCCCGUUCUCUCUGUCCAUUAUCUUCCCCCACGACAGCGAGCUCACCCAUGGAAAAUCCCCUACACGGCUACACCUUCGCUGGCUUCCCCUCGCCGGAGCUCCGCCUUGGCCGUCCCCCCUCCGUUGAGCUCCUCUCUCUCGACCCCCGUGCGGAGGAUGGAAGAUACAACCGUUGCGACCUGGUGUCGAAAGUCUCUUUAGGCGGCCGGCGAUCUAUGGCACGGGGCGGUGGAGCAAGCCACUUGGGCCGGAGGUAGGCGGCAGCAGGCGAUGCUGCUUGGGCGACGAGGCCGGCUACAACUGUGGCUUCCUCGAGCAGUUCCCACAGCCAGGUUGGCCAUGACGAAUACCGGCGACCCGACUGUGCCGGCAGACGGUUUGCUCAAAGUUGUCCCACUCCCGUAGCGGAGCCGGCGGCAUCGUGGAUCUCUACGUAAAUUCGUCGGGCCAUGAGGAUACUGAGGUGGACUACAGUCUAAGACAGGCACGCCUUGCCCUUCGGUCAAGACAUUGUUGAGGCAGGUGCGCUCAGCCUUGAUCUUCAAUUCUUCACACGCAACGUCACAGAAGUCUAAUUUGAUGGCUUCACCUAGGAUUCGUGUCUCCUCCAACCUCAGCCGCGUUGCUGCAAUAUUUUGCAGGCUGCUCUCUUCUUUACGGUUGAUGUGAUCAUUUGGUCGACAUGUGGCGCUUGCGUUCAUACACUGACGGACAAGGAGCACAAACCGACUCAAAAGGUGCGGCUCAUAAUAUAUAAUUUAGGUGGAAUAUCAAAUUGAAGAUCUCAAGGCAGUAAGCUUGACAGAGAAUAUAAAGAGGUUUCAAAAAGUGAUGCUCCAUCUGUUAUACUUUUGUCUUCUAAUUAAUCAGUAUUGGGGAUACCAUGGUGCUCCAAAGGAGACUCCCAACUUCCCCUAAAAGAUAAUUGGCUUAUAUUAUUGAUGGUAAUCCUUAUUCACUUAUGUUCGGAAAGCAAAAUUAUUAAGCAGUUAAAUUGUAUCCAAAUAGUGUCUUGUAAUUCUUGAAAUGCUGAUUGGUCUUUUCUCUCAGCCAACAAAAUAAUUCCUCUUGGAUUAUUGUUAAUGUUGUCACCUAUUUCACAUUGGUCCAGAGUGUUCUAUGGUUGCAUCAGAAAAGAAGGCAGAAAAUGAUUAUUUUCUCCGUUCUUAAUGUUCAGUACAUAAUAAUAUUGACAUUCUUGGAACUUCUCAUGUCGUUCAGCCAUUCUUAUUUGACAUUGGACUGACAUUUUUAUCAUGAGACAAGUUAAAAUUUGUGCUGGGCUAGAAAGAAGGCAGUAUGUGCUCUAUAUACAGAUCGGACUGAAAUUCGGAUGGAAGAUACACAUUUGCAUGUAUAGUUUCUCUUGCGUAGAUUUGAAUAAGUACAUGUACUAUUUAAUCUCGCUCCCACUAUUUUGAGGUUGGUAUAUCACAAAUAGGUAGAAUGUGUAGGUAACCUAGAACAAACAUUGGAAUUAGAAGUUAGGAUGUUUACUUUUUGUGCCCAGUAUUGAUAAAUGAUCUAAUUGCUUUUGGCGAUGUUGAUGAUCUAAACGAGCGUGGGAGAUGUAAAAAGCUGUUUUAUAGCACUAUGAUUAGACCCUUUCUGAUUAUACCUUGAUAUUCUUAGUAAUUUACUUCAAGCAUGUGGUUAGGAGGAAUUUGAGUUUGUAGCCUGACAAGUAAUUAAUGAAAUUGUGGCUUAAUAAUAUUUUGCUCAAACAUUUAGGAGCAUAGAGGCACCGUGUCAACAUAAAUGUUCUAAUUGAUAUAUAUAUACUCUCAGCAAUUUACUACAACCAUGCAGUUAGGAUGAAUUUAAUGUUGUAGCCUGACAAUUAAUAAAUGAAACUGUGGCUUAAUAACAUCUUCCUCAAAUAUUUAGGGGCAAGAUAAGCGUUCAUAAUGAUAUCUGAAACCUGUCUUUUGUUGUUUAUAGUGUCAUUUGAAAGGUCAGCAAUUACACUAAUGCAGACAUGGAUACCAGAUCCUGCCGAGAAUCUUGACACCUGGUUCGAAACAGCUAUCGGUAAUGCAGAUCCCUCAGUUCAGAAGGGAGCCAAAUCGAUCAUCCUGCUUACCAUGUGGAGAUUAUGGAAUGUGUGCAAUGACGCUAUCUUCAAAAACAUAGGAAAGUCUGCGAGAGAAAAGGAAACAGGCAGCCAGGCAGGCGCUUAACUUCUUAUAAAUUUAAGCAAUUCUUUUUGUGAUUACUUAGUACAUACUGCUAAUCAAGGAACUCAACAUCUAUUAAAACAUGGAACUAAACAUCUAUUAAAUGUUGGAUGUUUCCAUUAACCAUGCCCAGUAAUUGUUUUACCUCUUCAACUGUAUUGUAGGUUAAGAUGCAGGAUAAAAGCAUCCAAGAUGAGGAGUUCAUAUUCACCAACAAGGAAUGGACAAAUCUACAGCAGCAAUGGCGUCAUCUCUCUUCUUUUGUGAAAGGUCAAAAUUUUCUGGCUUUUACUUGGGAUACACAUUGUAGAUGAGAGAGUUUCUUUUUGGAAGAUUAUAUGUGUCUUUUGUAAUGAGCUAAAGAUAAAGAAAUGUUAUAUUUCAUUCCUGGAAUGUCUGCCUGGACAUGCUGGAAGUACCUGUGACAUUUUCCAAGCUACAGAUUUGUUCGUGGUACCAUUAAAUUAUAUCGGUUGUCCCUUUCCAUAUGGAAGAUAUUACAUCA
Non-coding RNA from Lolium perenne, 2697 nucleotides. The record is from RefSeq and is a predicted model, not a curated record. Lineage: Eukaryota; Viridiplantae; Streptophyta; Magnoliopsida; Poales; Poaceae.